GUGCUAAGGUAGCAUAAUCACUUGCUUCUUAAUUGGUAGCUGGAAUGAAAGGUUGAACUAACUUAACAAGUUUGUUUUUCUAAUUAGGGUAUUUAAGUCAAGGUAAGAAUUCUUUGAUAACCUAGGGGACGAUAAGACCCUAGAAGCUUAACAAUAAGUUAAGGUAUUUGUUACGCUAGCAACUUUGUUUUACUGGGGCGGUAAAAAUGUUUAAACCAAUUAGGUUUUAGCGGAUCCUCUACAUAGGGAAAGAUUGGUGUAGUUACUCUAGGGAUAACAGUGUUAUAUCUUUGGAGAGACCUUAUCGAUAAAUAUUUUUGCAACCUCGAUGUUGAAUUA
Molecule: ribosomal RNA, 339 nt
Filed under: Macrohectopus branickii
Lineage: Eukaryota; Metazoa; Arthropoda; Malacostraca; Amphipoda; Macrohectopidae
Description: partial 16S ribosomal RNA
Rfam family: Bacterial large subunit ribosomal RNA
Source: RNAcentral